RNAcentral lists this ribosomal RNA (116 nucleotides) under Escherichia coli 2-210-07_S1_C2. RNAcentral describes it as "partial 16S ribosomal RNA". The record is from RNAcentral. Lineage: Bacteria; Pseudomonadati; Pseudomonadota; Gammaproteobacteria; Enterobacterales; Enterobacteriaceae.
AGCGAUUCAGCAUGACCGUUUAUAGUAGCGCAGUCUUAUCCCUUGCCUUUCAUUGAUGAACAGACAGAAAUUAAAAACCGGCGUUGACUGUUCGGGGAAGCCCUUAUAGUAGGAUA